RNAcentral lists this ribosomal RNA (253 nucleotides) under uncultured bacterium. RNAcentral describes it as "partial 16S ribosomal RNA". It matches the Rfam family "Bacterial small subunit ribosomal RNA", at positions 524 to 776 of the family's 1533-position model. The record is from RNAcentral.
UACGGAGGGGCCUAGCGUUGCGCGGAAUUACUGGGCGUAAAGGGCGCGUAGGCGGAUUGUUAAGUGGGGGGUGAAAUCACGGGGCUCAACCCCGAAACUGCCUUCGAAACUGGCAAUCUGGAGUUCGAGAGAGGUGAGUGGAAUUCCGAGUGUAGAGGUGAAAUGCGUAGAUAUUCGGAGGAACACCAGUGGCGAAGGCGGCCCACUGGAUCGGUACUGACGCUGAGGUGCGAAAGCUUGGGGAGCAAACAGG